GGGCAUAGGAGGUUGGCUAAAUUCAUAAGCUACUGUGGUAUGCUAGCAUGUAACCCUAGAUAAAAUUUUGAAAUCCAACCUACUAAUGGCCCAAAUGCUUCCCAAGCCUUCAUGUAGGGCAUAACAUGCUUAAGCCUAUUGGUGAUAGCUUUAGUAACCAUCUUAUAAACCACAUUGCAUAAAGCAAUGGGCCUAAAUUGAGAGAUAAGAGAGGGCUGCUCAAUCUUAGGAAUGAGAGAGACAAGAGUUUGAUUCAUGCGAUGGUCAAUACUCCCUCCCAAAAGAAUUCAUUUAAGUUCAUUGCAAACAUCCCGGCCCACCAAAUUCCAUUGGGAUUGAAAUAAAUCUGCGUGAAGACCGUCACUGCCUAGAGCCUUCCAAGGCUUCAUAUCAAAGAGAGCCAGACGAAUCUCCUCAUCAGCAAACGAUCUUUGAAGAAACUCUAACAUAUCAAGGGGCAAACGAGGGAAGUGACCCCGGAUAGGAUAACUAGGCCGGACAAUCAUCUCUUCCAUAUAGAGAUUUUUAAAAAAAUCCAUAACUAACCGCUUCAGACUCACCUGAUCCUCAACCCAUUCACCGAAAUCAUUUCUAAGCUUCUCUACUCUAAUCCUUUUCCUUCUAGUAAUGGUGCGGAUAUGAAAAAAAUUUGUAUUUUGGUCACUAUAAUUAAUCCAAUCACACCGAGCUUUUUGAUACCACAAUAAUUCUUCCCUGAACAAGUUCAUAUCCAAUUCCCUCUUCAAUUCAAGCUCCAAGUCAAUAAGCUUCUGAGACAAUCUCCUACCAAGAGCAUUUUGGAUUCUAGCAAUACGGGCCAAGAGAACAUUUUUCUUCCUAAAAAUAUUUCCGAACACAUCAGUAUUCCAUUUUUGCAACUCCUUAGUGAAAUCCUCAAUACCCUGCAUAAAAGAAUUUCCCUCCUUCCAUUUCGUAGCCACUAAAUCCGCAAAAUUAGAGUGAGUGAGCCAGGUUGAUAGAAAACGGAAGGGCCUGUUCCCUGAAGAAGGGAUAAAAUUAUUUAGCUUGAGCAGCAAAGGCCUAUGGUCUGAGUGAACUCUCGAUAAGUGGUGAAUCGCAGCCUCAGGAUAACAUAAUCUCCAAGAGUGACUGCAAAUUCCUCUGUCUAGCCUUUCUUGCAAAUUUCCUAUUUUCCAGGUGUAUUUUGACCCUAAAAAUCCCAAAUCCAAAAGACCAGAAGAGAAGAACCAUUCAGAAAAAGAUUUACAAACACCCACUCUAUUUUGAGAACCUCUGCAACAUUCGCUGGGGCUGCAAAUAGCGUUAAAAUCUUCCAUAGCAAACCAGGGCUCCGUAACUUGCAAGUUUAAUCUCUGUAGCACCUUCCAAAGAAAUUUGCGAUGAGAAUAAACUGGGCUUCCAUAAACAGCGGUGAAGAAAGAAAUCAGCUUGUUAUUCUCCUUAAUCAGCUUAUGAAUAAAUUGAAUAUGGUUUUCUAAAACAAAAACCUCCCACCCAUUAUUCCAAAGCACCCAUAUGCCACCUGAAAAUCCUUGAGCUUUAAAACGAUGAGAGAAGGGGAAUUCAAUUUUUCGAAUAAUCUCAUCAGCUUUGGAGCCACUAAUACGGGUUUCGAAAAGCACCAGAACUUUCGACUUGUACUUCUUAACCAGUAACUUCAAAUAACUCGGAAAAGCUUUAUGGCCUGCGCCUUGACAAUUCCAACAUAAAACAGACAUUUGAAAAGAAAAGUGAAAAAGGAAAUACCAGAUUACGCUUGGAGUGAAGGAUCAACGAUUUCAUCAAAACCAUCUGACUCCUCCAUCUCACUCUCGGCAACUCCAGAAUAGUCAUCCCCAUCCUCCUCAUCGGAGACAUCUUACAUGUUGUUCUCCCUCACCAACAUUGGAUCAGGUGGCCUGCUUAUAGUAAUACGAAUAAUCUGGUCAUCUUCCAAUGUAGAAGAAUGAGGAUUAUUCACUUCCAUAGUUUCCGUGGAAGUAGCUGGAAUCUCU
RNAcentral lists this unclassified non-coding RNA (1976 nucleotides) under Hevea brasiliensis (rubber tree). The record is from RNAcentral. Lineage: Eukaryota; Viridiplantae; Streptophyta; Magnoliopsida; Malpighiales; Euphorbiaceae.